RNAcentral lists this transfer RNA (73 nucleotides) under Bos taurus (domestic cattle). It matches the Rfam family "tRNA". From Rfam's summary of the family: Transfer RNA (tRNA) molecules are approximately 80 nucleotides in length. The record is from Rfam by way of RNAcentral. Lineage: Eukaryota; Metazoa; Chordata; Mammalia; Artiodactyla; Bovidae. RNAcentral also lists the same sequence under 1 other name.
UCCCUGGUGGUCCAGUGGCUAAGACUCUGCACUUUCAAUGCAGGGUGACUGGGUUUGAUUCCUCAUCAGGGAA